CCUACGGGGGGCUGCAGUGGGGAAUAUUGGACAAUGGGCGAAAGCCUGAUCCAGCCAUGCCGCGUGUGUGAAGAAGGCCUUCGGGUUGUAAAGCACUUUCAGUGGGGAAGAAAGCCUUGGGGCUAAUACCCUCGAGGAAGGACAUCACCCACAGAAGAAGCACCGGCUAACUCCGUGCCAGCAGCCCCGGUAAUACGGAGGGUGCGAGCGUUAAUCGGAAUUACUGGGCGUAAAGCGCGCGUAGGCGGUCUGAUAAGCCGGUUGUGAAAGCCCCGGGCUCAACCUGGGAACGGCAUCCGGAACUGUCAGGCUAGAGUGCAGGAGAGGAAGGUAGAAUUCCCGGUGUAGCGGUGAAAUGCGUAGAGAUCGGGAGGAAUACCAGUGGCGAAGGCGGCCUUCUGGACUGACACUGACGCUGAGGUGCGAAAGCGUGGGUAGCAAACAGGAUUAGAUACCCUUGUAGUC
RNAcentral lists this ribosomal RNA (465 nucleotides) under Vreelandella stevensii. RNAcentral describes it as "partial 16S ribosomal RNA". It matches the Rfam family "Bacterial small subunit ribosomal RNA", at positions 338 to 795 of the family's 1533-position model. Lineage: Bacteria; Pseudomonadati; Pseudomonadota; Gammaproteobacteria; Oceanospirillales; Halomonadaceae. The record is from RNAcentral.